UCACUGGGACUUUUCUCUGGGAUUUGAUCAGGUUGGGAGUUUACCACAUCUGAGCUGCUUUGUCAAAGGGCUGCAUCACAGCAGCAUUAGCAGAGCAAUUGCCUGCCCCCACCUAUCAUGCAAGCCCUCAAGCCUCCCAUGGUCAGCGUGCUUUACUGCCACUGCCAGCAAUCUCUCAAACCAUUUAACCCUCCAAAGCGGCAGGAGAAACGGACAGGAAGGAGAGAGGAUCAGGAGGAAUGAAAGCUGUGGUGCUCAAAUUAAUUUCAAGACCACUUACCAAGUCAUCAGACACAUGGGGCACAAAGGGACAGUAAAUUUACUCUGCAAGGGAAGAAGUGGAUAAAUUGGUAAAAGGGACUUGAAUUCAGGACAGCAAUGUUAAAAGUUGCCGUGUCCGGUGUCAUUUGCCCUGCUUGGAGGAUCUCUAGGAGAGCGGAUUGCCCCUGCCCAGGACUGCCUGCCCCUGCUCACAUCUCACCCACUACCAUUUUGUACUAGUCCUUUGUGAAUAAACUCUUUACUUUGA
This is a long non-coding RNA of Micropterus dolomieu (smallmouth bass), 529 nucleotides long. RefSeq lists it as uncharacterized. NCBI's taxonomy places the organism in Eukaryota, Metazoa, Chordata, Actinopteri, Centrarchiformes, Centrarchidae. The transcript has 2 exons. The record is from RefSeq and is a predicted model, not a curated record.